UGAGGUAACGGCUCACCAAGGCGACGACGGGUAGCUGGUCUGAGAGGACGAUCAGCCACACUGGGACUGAGACACGGCCCAGACUCCUACGGGAGGCAGCAGUGGGGAAUCUUGCGCAAUGGGCGAAAGCCUGACGCAGCAACGCCGCGUGCGGGAUGAAGGCCUUCGGGUUGUAAACCNCUUUCAGUGGGGACGAAAACAGANGGUACCCACAGAAGAAGCCCCGGCCAACUACGUGCCAGCAGCCGCGGUAACACGUAGGGGGCGAGCGUUGUCCGGAAUCAUUGGGCGUAAAGAGCUCGUAGGUGGCUCAAUAAGUCGGGUGUGAAACCCCCAGGCUCAACCUGGGGACGCCACCCGAUACUGUUGUGGCUAGAGUCCAGUAGGGGAGUGUGGAAUUCCCGGUGUAGCGGUGAAAUGCGCANAUAUCGGGAGGAACACCAGCGGCGAAGGCGGCACUCUG
This 463-nucleotide ribosomal RNA is filed under the name uncultured Actinomycetes bacterium. Its description in RNAcentral is "bacterial SSU rRNA". It matches the Rfam family "Bacterial small subunit ribosomal RNA", at positions 253 to 731 of the family's 1533-position model. Lineage: Bacteria; Bacillati; Actinomycetota; Actinomycetes. The record is from RNAcentral.